CACGGCUCACAGAAGCCUGCGGAGCCCGUUAAGAGGCAGCCGAGGUCCCAGUGCCUGUCCACGCUGGUCCGGCCCGUCUUCGGAGAGGUGCAAACACAGAUGACCCUUCUAUAGAGAAAGCAGAGAAGGUUUAGUCGGGGUCCAUCCCAGGGCAGCUGCCGCCCCGCUCAAAGAGAAGCACAAGCAGAGCGGUGGGAGCGUGGGUGCGCUGGAGGAGCUGGAGAACGCCUUCAGCCUGGCCGAGGAGUCCUGCCCCGGCAUCUCAGACAAGCUGAUGGUGCACCUGGUGGAGCGAGUGCAGAGGUUUUCACACAACAGAAACCACCUGACAUCCACCCGCUGAAGCGCGCUGCUGUUCAGAUAGGGGACAGAAGGUCGUUUGUUUUUGUCUUGAGCUCCAUAAGAACUGUGCUGACUUGGAAGGUGCCCUGUGCUGUGUCGUGCCUGCAGGGACACAUCAGAUCCUGUGGGCCUCACAUGCCAGGUCACCAGGUCACCGUCUCCUUCCAUCCCUG
This 515-nucleotide small RNA is filed under the name Pongo abelii (Sumatran orangutan). RNAcentral describes it as "processed transcript". The record is from RNAcentral. Lineage: Eukaryota; Metazoa; Chordata; Mammalia; Primates; Hominidae.